UGGGGAAUUUUGGACAAUGGGGGAAACCCUGAUCCAGCCAUCCCGCGUGUGCGAUGAAGGCCUUCGGGUUGUAAAGCACUUUUGUCAGGAAAGAAACGUCAUGGGUUAAUACCCCGUGAAACUGACGGUACCUGCAGAAUAAGCACCGGCUAACUACGUGCCAGCAGCCGCGGUAAUACGUAGGGUGCAAGCGUUAAUCGGAAUUACUGGGCGUAAAGUGUGCGCAGGCGGUUCGGAAAGAAAGAUGUGAAAUCCCAGAGCUCAACUUUGGAACUGCAUUUUUAACUACCAGGCUAGACUGUAUCAGAGGGAGGUGGAAUUCCGCGUGUAGCAGUGAAAUGCUUAGAUAUGCGGAGGAACACCGAUGGCGAAGGCAGCCUCCUGGGAUAACACUGACGCUCAUGCACGAAAGCGUGGGGAGCAAACAGG
This 429-nucleotide ribosomal RNA is filed under the name Acidobacteriota bacterium. RNAcentral describes it as "Acidobacteria bacterium partial 16S ribosomal RNA". It matches the Rfam family "Bacterial small subunit ribosomal RNA", at positions 355 to 776 of the family's 1533-position model. The record is from RNAcentral. Lineage: Bacteria; Pseudomonadati; Acidobacteriota.